Molecule: ribosomal RNA, 400 nt
Filed under: uncultured bacterium
Lineage: Bacteria
Description: bacterial SSU rRNA
Rfam family: Bacterial small subunit ribosomal RNA
Source: RNAcentral
UAAGGAAUAUUGGGCAAUGGAGGCAACUCUGACCCAGCCAUGCCGCGUGAAGGAUGACUGCCCUAUGGGUUGUAAACUUCUUUUGUAUGGGAAUAAACCCAGUUACGUGUAACUGGCUGAAUGUACCAUAAGAAUAAGCAUCGGCUAACUCCGUGCCAGCAGCCGCGGUAAGACGGAGGAUGCAAGCGUUAUCCGGAUUUAUUGGGUUUAAAGGGAGCGUAGGCGGGAUAGUAAGUCAGCGGUGAAAGCCUGAGGCUCAACCUCGGAACUGCCAUUGAUACUGCUAACCUAGAGUACAUUUGAUGUGGGCGGAAUGUGUCAUGUAGCGGUGAAAUGCUUAGAUAUGACACAGAACACCGAUUGCGAAGGCAGCUCACAAAACUGUAACUGACGCUGAGGC